RNAcentral lists this small nuclear RNA (104 nucleotides) under Bison bison bison. The record is from RNAcentral. Lineage: Eukaryota; Metazoa; Chordata; Mammalia; Artiodactyla; Bovidae.
UUGCUUACUUCAGCAGCACAUAUACUAAAAUUGGGACAGUGCAGAGAUUAGCAUGGCCCCUGUGCAAGGAUGAUAUGCAAAUUCAUGAAGUGAUGCAUAUGAAA